CGGAGAGGUUGGUGACCCCUACCAGGGAUGGGACCUGUGCGAUGAUGUUAUUUGGAGCUUGGUUAAGGAAUUUGGGCAGCCACUUGCUCGCUGCGGGGCAGCCGAGGCUGAGCUCUGCCACCCGAGGUGGCCUUCCCCUGCUCGGGGGCGGCAGCUGCAAAGCUUCCACCCGCUGUGUCUGGAGGUGCCCUCCCCGAGCAAGGCUGGCCGAAAGCUGUGUUUUGGGGCUCUGCAGGGAGCAAAAGCUGCUCAGGCAGAGUCUUUGCUGCCCCCCUGCUCCCCCUCCGACAACCGAGUCGCAGGAACCAGGCCUGACCUACUUCUCCCUGGCUCCUCGCUUGCGUUUCCCUGACAGAUUACGAGGCCCUUCAUCUCCCGGCAGAAAUGUGAGUUUCCCAAGUAGCCGGCCCACAGAGGCAUAAAUAUUAAACAGCAACAGUACCAUCUAGUGACUUUGACUCACAGAGAGCAUCAGUUAAGACGGGGACAAGGAAAUGGGUGCAGUAAGGAGUCUGAGCAAAGCCCCAGAUGUGCAGAUGAGGUCUUAUCUCCAGGUUCAUUUGGAUUUAGGAAGCCAACCGUGCUGGUGCCGCAGCAGCCUCUCGCUGUGAUGUGACGCUUCCUUGGGAGACAAUCCUGUUUUUAGCCUACUGACUCCCCGCUGAACCCAGCCCUGACCCACGCUCCCUCUGCUGGUAACGAACUAAUUUACUUAAUGUGUUCACAACUUCGCGCACACCCACACGCACGCACAACAGCAAAUCCUGGCAGUAGCAUGCGAUGAAACUCAGGGCUGUGGCGAUUUCUCGGUCCUGAUGAACGUGCACCUUUUUGCUCUGAUGAGCCAGGAGUGAAAUCCUGAAUUGGAUGCAUGAACUAAACAGACAUGGUUCCGUUACUGCAUCAAAAACAGGCCUAAAACUGAGCAGAAAGGGUACACGAGCUUAAAAGGCCCACUCCAAGCAGAUCUGAAAUUACAGCCUCUCCUUCACAGCUGAAGGGAGGAAAUCAAAUUAGAGCGUUUCUCUCCCCAUCAGAGGACACCAGGCCUGCUGUGGCCGCGUUACACCGUGCCGUAGUUCAAGGCGUGCAGGAGAUCUCCUGGGAGGCUUCUGUGUGACCAGGGCAUCGCUGCAGAUCGCUGUGGUACCCACAGGCUCUGGGAUGCUCAGUGCUGAAGGGCACAACCCUUCUUAGCUGGUUAGCAGUGUGUGGGCACUGCCUCUUUCCCAGCCAAAGAGGCUGUUACGUGCACCAAAUGCACGGGAUGGAGGAAAGGUGACCCAAAAACACCGUGUUGUUGAACUUAAAUGCUAAAAUGUGACAGUAAACCUAUUAAGUGCCAUUGGUACUUGCAGAAGAAAUUGCUUUGCCACCUAAUCAAACGUGUCCCCUCUUUGCUAUCAAGAGCACGGCGCUGCCCUAAGUCCACUCAGCCUGGCUCACGGGCUGAUGGGUGUCUGACAAUUUUCUGGUUUCAAUUUAAACAGAAAACUAAAUUAGCAAAUUAAUUGUUUGCCGUGUUUUUCCUCGGUCCCCAUCAGCUGCCGCAGGACCUGCAGCCAAUCCAGGCACCCCUCUCGCAGUCCCCAGCAGAAGGUGGAGCUCUGCACCGGGUCCUGCUAUCUACCAAGUGUCAGUCAUGUUAAUUUUAAAUUACUUUUGUACAGCUCGGUGUCAAAACGAUUAAAGCAUGAAAAGAAAAACUGAACUAGAGAGAGGGAAGGGUGGGGGGGAGAGAGAAUGAAUAAUUUACCUUGCAUUUACAGCAAGGACACUUCAAUUUCUUUAACUCCUCAACUCUGUGAAGCCUGAAACUUUUCUUUCCUCUGCUCAACCUGCUUAUGACUCCGCCUGAGCAGGUGCUCUGGAUCCUCGCCUUCUGCAGGGAGGCAGUAACUGCUCGCAGCACAAAGCCGUGAUAAUAUCUGAGUUUCUUCCCAGGUACGGCUUUUCUCUGCGCCGCGCUCACCGUUUGUUGCAUUCGCCAGCACAAACCCACCCACACGCAGACCUUUCCUCCCCUUACUGCUCGGCACCCAGCUCCAUUUUCUCCAGAACUUGAGCACAUCGUGCUAGAUAAUUACAUGCUCAAAAAACAGAGAAAUGUACAAUCAGAUCCAGCCUUAAAACUGCGAGAAUGAGAACCUCAAGACAGCAUCUGGUGUAGGAUCGCAGCAUAACAGCCCUGGACUCACCGCGUCGGUUCCCCCAACUAACCUGCGUGCCUUGUAAAAACUUUGGUUUCUGCACAAAGACUGCUUUUAUCUUCUUUCUUAGUUCCACCUGCGAUUUCUUUCUCUUUCCAGUUACUGAAUGCUAUAAUCAGCGGUCCUUGAAAUACCAUACUAAAUCUGGAGAGGCCAGAAGAACAGCAAAAAGAUUUGUAAGGAGGGCAACUUGGCAUCACCUGAAAAUGUAAAGCAAGACAAGUUUAGCUACUUCUGUCAGUUUUUGUCUUCAGCUUAUACAUAGGAGCAUUUUCUAUUCAUAUUUCUUUAAAAAUUGGGUAUAUUUAUUUUGAAUUAUUUCGUCUUGAGGGACUACAAAUUGCAACGAGGUGCCUUUGAUGGGAGAUCAGUAGCAGGGUGACAGAGCUGCCUGGGAAAUGAGAGGGGCUGGAUGCUCCAGCGUAAUGUAUCCUGCAGGAUAUGUGUGGGCUUGAACCGAUUUGUCAAAUUUGAGCAGAGAAAACAAUUUUGCUAAUGGGUGUUUUCUGAAAAACGAGCGUGUUGUCUCGGCAGUUUGUGUUCUGACUUGUGCUGUCUUCUCGCCACCCAUCCUUGGCAGGCGCAGAGAGGAGGCACCGGUGGCUUCUCCCUGCACCUCGCUCCAGCGUCGUUAGCCCGACAGCCUUGCCAGAUCCCGACAGCUCGUGCGACGGGCUGAAAAGCACGCCUGAGAUUUCCUCCUCCAAAACUUCUUCCCCGACUUCUCUAACGUGUUUGCUUUGGCUCGGUAAUCCCCCCUUCCUUUAAUCCUCCUGGCUUUGGUUCUGUGGCCCGCAGGGCAGGCUCCACUUGGAAGGUGGGGAAGGCAAAGGGGCACCCCUGGAAUGAAUGAAGCCGCCCCCUCCCUGCUGCCCCAUUUUUGUGCUGCUGCCCUUGGAGCGUGGAAAUCGCAGGGGUCUGCACAGUUUAGGAGCUGUGACUGGGCUGCAGUGGUGCACUGCAUGGGAUUUCGCUUAAGCAUGCAGGCACGGCAAUGUUUCUCUCAUUAAUAGCGGGAUUCCCUUCACAUGGCAAUGUUUCUUCAGCUGCUGACUCACAAAUAAAUCAUUUAACUGACUUUUUUUUUUUUUCCCUUUCCCAUUUGGGAAGCUCCUGUAAACUUCCCUUAUCCUCUGCCAGAGGCCUAGCAGGAGGCUUGAGAAAUGAAGAGCGGUGUCUCCUGCAGCGCGUUUUGGCAAUGUCACCUCAGAUGUGCCGUGGGGGAGUACCGAGCAUCACGACCUCCAGUCUGAUAACCACAGCUUUCCCUCUCUAAUAUGCGCUUGGCGCGAGAGCAGCAGCUUUAUAAAACUAACACCUUUUUUACUAGAUGCUGCUAGUCCAGCCGCAGUGAUCUCUGCUCGCUUGUGCAACUUCUUAAAUAAAAAAACAUUGUGAGCCGGAGCAUUAAAAAUACAGUCAGCAAGGCUGGCACUUCUACUCUGCCUGGCGCUGGAGAGCUGAGUGAGAGCACGAGAGGGACGUGCAAUGGAUUUAUUACCAACAGUGCUGCUGUAUCGCAUCCAACUGCAAAACCUAUCAGGACGUUCUGUAUCGAUCGGAGUACAAAGACCAAAAUAAGAGAAGUGUAGCAAAGAGAGCAACCAACUAAAUGCCAAAUGCUAGAGGCGACCUGAGGCCUAAAACAAAGCACAGACCAUCAGUAAUUGGUGCUGGAGGAGCUUGAAGUCGAGAGAUGUUUCUCUCUUUGUCCUGAAGAUUCUCAAGAGCUGGAGGCUGGUGUUUCCAGCACCCCGUGAACUACGCAAUUUAGAGCUAUAACCCACGAACAAGACAGAAACUUCAAAGAGAUCAGCAGGUCGAGGACAAGCAGGCCUUCUUACCCCGACACCCUCGAUUUACAUUUGGAUUUUAUGUUUGUAAAUGAAGCCACAUACAAAUUUAGGGAUCGGUGAUAAGGAAAUGGAAGCUUAUGAAAGGUGUCGGGCAUCUCGCAUCAGGAAAUUUCUAUGGAAAUGCUUGAUUGCUAACAGGAUUUACGGGUAUCUACUUGCUAUAAUUAAUCUUUCUCUUCCACAUAAUUUCAUUACACGUUGCCUGUUUCGACUGAGUACAGUCCCAACACCCUGAAACCCAUGGGUUCGGUGGAGGAAGGGUUUUUUAAUGUCUAGGAGUUGCAUUGCAACAGCAGAGAGGCUCAACAACUCCAUGUUUCAGGGGUGGUGAGCUCCAGGGACUGGCAGAGCUGGAGACAAGGGCUCGUAAAAGGCAACAGGCUUGAGGAGACAGAGGAAGGAAGGUCUUUAACUGUUAGGCUGAAUCACUAAAGCCCGUAUCUAAUGAACCAUACGGUAUUUACUGAUGCCGCAUGUCCUUGUCUAUUAGGGACAUUUAUCAGCAGGCUUGCUCCCCCCCCUCCUGUUUUCCAACUUCGUUUCUUUGUGGUUUGCAGGCGUGAUGCGUUUUCAG
Long non-coding RNA from Anas platyrhynchos (mallard), 4640 nucleotides. RefSeq lists it as uncharacterized. The record is from RefSeq and is a predicted model, not a curated record. Lineage: Eukaryota; Metazoa; Chordata; Aves; Anseriformes; Anatidae.